UAACCAGUCAAGCCUGGCUUGGUAUUGGAGUCCGUCAUACGACGGCUUCUAAAAGCAGUGGCAGCGCCGCUGAGCUCUAAGCGUAGUAAAUCUCCUCGCUACAGAGUUCUUGUGGUAGUUCGUCAUAACCCCCCUACUUUUUAA
RNAcentral lists this unclassified non-coding RNA (144 nucleotides) under uncultured Helotiales. RNAcentral's name for it is "sequence contains ITS2". Lineage: Eukaryota; Fungi; Ascomycota; Leotiomycetes; Helotiales. The record is from RNAcentral.